GGGGAAUAUUGGACAAUGGGCGGAAGCCUGAUCCAGCCAUGCCGCGUGUGUGAAGAAGGUCUUCGGAUUGUAAAGCACUUUAAUUUGGGAGGAAGGGUUUACACCUAAUACGUGUGAACUUUGACGUUACCAAAAGAAUAAGCACCGGCUAACUUCGUGCCAGCAGCCGCGGUAAUACGAAGGGUGCAAGCGUUAAUCGGGAUUACUGGGCGUAAAGCGCGCGUAGGUGGUUCGUUAAGUGGGAAGUGAAAGCCCCGGGCUCAACCUGGGAAUUGCUUUCAAAACUGGCGAGCUAGAGUACGGUAGAGGGUGGUGGAAUUUCCUGUGUAGCGGUGAAAUGCGUAGAUAUAGGAAGGAACAUCAGUGGCGAAGGCGACCACCUGGACUGAUACUGACACUGAGGUGCGAAAGCGUGGGGAGCAAAC
Molecule: ribosomal RNA, 425 nt
Filed under: uncultured bacterium
Lineage: Bacteria
Description: bacterial SSU rRNA
Rfam family: Bacterial small subunit ribosomal RNA
Source: RNAcentral